AUAUAGCUGACGAGUUCAAAAUAGGACGAGACUCGCGUCCUGGAU
Molecule: non-coding RNA, 45 nt
Filed under: Schistosoma curassoni
Lineage: Eukaryota; Metazoa; Platyhelminthes; Trematoda; Strigeidida; Schistosomatidae
Source: RNAcentral